AUCCUGAACCUGCUGAGCCCAAGCUGGUGGGACAGAUGGACACAGUGACACAGAUUUCUUGUGCGUAGCUCUCCUCUGCUACUGCCCCCCGCGGCCCGGCAUCAGAGGACCUGGGAUCGCCCCGGGAGCACGCGAGGACCUCCUCGCUGUGGGACAGGCCAAUGCCUCAGCCUCCUGAGCCUCAGUUGUUUCUUCUGUAAAAUGGGAAUAACAACAUUCACACCAAUUCUUCUUCCUUCAAGAGAUGAUGCUGGAGAUCAAAUGAGGCAAAAGGUGGAAAAGUCAAUUAUAAAGCACUUUCAAAUACAAGCUCACGGUGUGGCACACUUGGAAACAGUGAUCUUCCUGCUAUCUCCCCUGUAUGGCCUGCACCCCAUCAGGAAGACCCUUUGCCAGGCAGCUGUGCGAGGUUUACGAGUGCAGUGAGUGCAGGAGCGGUCACUGGGGUGGCAGAAGAAACUCUGGGCCCGCUCACCACUCGUCGGCUGGAGGGGUCCUUCCAGAGCCCGAAGAUUCCCUCCCCAGAUUUUCCUUAUGAGGCAAGCGGGCAAGCUGGCACUGGCACUGGCUGGGCAGCCCCAGGAGAUGGGGCUGGAGAGGCUCCAUCACUACUAUGGGUUCAGACCUCACCCUGAAACCCAUUAAACCCAUGUCUUGUAAGCCCUACAGGUGGUGUCAAGAGGAAUUUUCAGGGCACUGACAGGCUUCUCCAAAGGGAGAGGCUCUAGCUGGGUCUGUGCACUACUCUGCAGGAAGAAGCAGUGUUUAGGGGCAGCAGGAUCUGGGGCAUCAGGAGAACCAGCGCCUCUGGUCCUCACGUGCUGUCCACCUUGGGCGAUCCCCUCCCUUCACUGGGCACAGCUGGCAGGAGAAAUUUCUAGAAGUGGACUUUCUGGAUGCAAAAGGCUUUUGCGACGAAGCUGACAAGUUGCCUUCAGAAAACUUAUUCUCCCACCUCUGCUUUUAAAUACAUAUUUCUGCUUCACAUCUCCCCUUCCUCAACGAACAUUAUACAACAGGCAUUUCUUAAGUUCUUAACCUCACUGGCAACAUUAUUUUAAUAGUAGUAUUCUGUCAGCCACCAACCCUCCUUGGAGCCUUCACAGUUCCUUCUGUUUCCUGGGAUAACCCCCAAAUUCCCAACUUCCAGACCAAGUAGCUUCAUUUGACAAUGGGGAGCCUCCCCUGGGGGUUCCAGCUUCUAAAGUCAAAAUAAAACGGUUAACUCAGCCCAAUCCUGUUCACUCCGUGCAGCGGGAAGGUCGCCAGGAGGCACCAUGAAAUGGAAAUCAUUCUAAGUUUUCUGCCGUGUAUUUUUUCUACACGGUGGAGAAGAUCCAUUUGUGUUUUAAACAAAAACGCCCCCUUCUUGUCAUCUUCUCUCAGUCAAAAAGGUAUCAUCUUUUCCCCCAACAGGUAUUUGCUUGGCAAGAAACUCCUCAUUCAGAAACCCUUCCAGCAAGGGGAUAAAUUUUUCUAAGGCAGCGAGUGACUACACACACAUCUGCAUUGACAAGUCACAACUUAUAGCCUUCUAUGGUGUUUCUGCGCUUUUGAAAAUGUUAAUAAAAACUUAAUGUGGAAAAAAACCAACUUUUUCCAAAUAUGUGUACCAAUAAGCCCAAGGCAACUCAUACUUUCUUAUAAAAUAAAGUAGGUCACUCACAUCAAUCAUGUUGUCUUAGCACAUUUUUUCCAAAUUAGGAAUUCUCAAUCCAUCAGACCCGGUUAUGGCAUCUCUUUUCCAAACAUUUCCUUUUAAUAUGCUCUUUAACAUGAUAAGCAAAUCUAAUAGAAUACAUUAGUGUCACUUUUCCGUGAUGGAGUGUUUCCUCCUGUUGUGACCCACGAUGCGUUCAGGGAAAGAUUUUUACUGGUUCCCCCUGGAACAGCGAUUGUUUAUGGCACAUGUGCCAAUGGCCCUAAAGCUGCCAAGGCUACACUUGGGUGCUGACCUUAGAAAGACCCCAGGACUCUGACCUCACCUCUCCAGGGAUCAUAGAUGUAGAAAAGUCAAAAGACGUGUGUUUCCCAAAGCAAAAUAAUAAAUCCAGAUUCUGUACGUGAGGAGUGUUUAAAUUGAGGCUGUCGAUACAGUAGAGUUGCUCAUGCACACGGACUAUCACAUACAGAUCAAAAGCUUGUACUGGGCUUCAUUUUAAAACCACAUUGCUUGCAGAACAUUUCCAAAUCUCCUGAAUCACGCAGCAAGGGAGGAUCCUUGGCUUCAGACACGUGGGAUGCUCCAAAACCAGUUACCAUCUUCUUGCAAGUGAAUUUGGACAUUGUAUGAGAUGCACGCUCUGUUUACAACCCACUGGAGAUAAAUAUAUUUGUAUGUUCAUAUAUUUGACAACAUUUACCUGGCAAAACCAGAGUCUUUGUUUCUACUCAUACCUCUGGUUCCUGGACUCGUGUGUUCAGUGUUAGCACUGGCCUUUCUUUCAUCUGGACAGAGUUUGGGAAUAAAACACUUGUGAAAGUUGGGGACUGGGAGAGGUUUGUGGAGCGCCCAGGAAUUCAGUUGUUUCAGACUUUUUGGCCACCCAGCAGGAAAACAUCUGAAUGGAAAAGGAAAAGUUUAGUUUGUCUUCUGGAUCUUUCGAAUGGAUACGUAAGGUCCUGCAGACACUGGUUUCGAUGGCCCAUCCUGUAAGUCACAUCACUUCUUCCUAAUGUCCUAGGAAACAAGAAAGUAACGUUAUGGCCUCUGAUCAGCCAUAGCUUCCUGACCCUGCCCCAUUGUUGCCCAGAGCUAAUGACUUGAGGCUCUGUGUGUCCAUCACAAAAAUGUGUGUGCUAGGGGCAGUGACGGACACAUAAAGUCAUAGCUCCUGCCCUUGAGAUGCUUGAGGUCAGGCUUGAUAUCAAGUAGAAUACAAUAAGGAAAAGAAAAAAAAAAUCCAGGGAGCUCAGAGGAGGGAGAGGUCAUUGCCAGGUAAGGGUGAGUGCAGAAAAAGAUUGAGAAGACGGUCUUCGAGCCGGGCCCUGACCAGUGAGUGGGCUUUGGAUCUGCACAGAUGGGGGAAGGGCAUUCUAGGUCAAAGGCACAGUGAGAGUAAGGGGCGGGGAGCAGGCGUGGGAAAGCAUGCAGGGAGCAGAGGCAUGACAAACAAUUGAGGACCAGCUGAACACAGGCUGCAGAAAGAGAAGCAUUAGAGGAAAUCAGGGAAGGGAGAUUGAUGCUAGUGUGUGAGAUGCCUUGAGUGCCAACAUAAGGAGAAAAGCCUCCAGGGAAUGCUCCCCCUCUGUACCCCCAAAAUUGUUCUGGUCACAUCACCACGUCUGCCUGGAAUAGGAAGAUUAUUAGGGUGAUCAUGUUUAUGUGGGUGCAUUUAAACCCCCUCAUCCUUUUGUCUCUUUAACCUUCUUCUCUACGUAGGCUAAUGCUAUGGCAAAUUUAAGUGUUUUCCAUUGCUGACGUUUGGAGCACCAUCCUGGAAAUUCCUGCUGGCCUCAAAACCAUUGCUUACAGAGAUUUAGGAUUCUUGCAAGUUCAGUGGUUUCUCUGAGUCGAUUAACAUUUGUAGAAGCUGCCCCUUUCCUUGUGGCCCAUGGACCCAGAGGGGACUAUGCAGUGCAAGACUUGAGGUGUUUCGGUAAACCCAUCACUUUGUUCACCACACAUUUAUUGAGCAACUACUACGUGUCUUAAUAUUGCUCCAUGUGCUGAGGACGAAGCGUGUAAACAGAACAGACAGGGUCCCUUGUCUUCAUGGGGUUUACUUUCUGGUGGGACAGACAGAAAGUUAUCGAGAUCAUUUCAAAGUUAUAAGGAAAACAAAGGAAAUAAGCUAAGCGACAUGAAAGAGUGACAGGAAGCAAGAAAAGGACGACCACGUCGGAGAAGAUGGACAGAGAAGGCCUGAAGGAGGGAGGCUGGGAAGAAGGCAGCUAGAGGAAUGGCUGAGGGAGAAACAUGGAGAACAGGGGAUGCAGCAAGUGCAAGUGUGGGGUGAGCUGGAAGAAGCUAGGAAAUGAGAGGGACAGGGAGCAGAUAGGGCUGGAGCAAGGCAGGAGCCCUUUUGGGAUUUGAGGUACCAUGGGAAGCUCCUGCAGGGUUUGAGGCGGGAAGUGACCAAGCUAUGAAUGUUCGAGCCACCAUGAGGCACCAUCUGCUCCGCCUCUCCGUUGCUGGCUUGCCCCGCAAAGUCAAAACGAGUGCUCGGAGUGCAUCAGCUUUUAUUUUUACAGCAAUCUUUGUACCCAAACCACCGUAGCAUUUUUAAUAACAAACUGGCAGGGAGUCAGACAUCUGUACUUGAAAAAAACAGCCCAAGCCAAGUAUUUCUAAAUGUUUUAUAUUUACUUGUAACAUUAGAAUAACCAUGAGGUUGCUUUUUGCAUAAUCGGAACCAUUCUCAUUAGGGUUCGACAGAUCUCAUCCUUCAUGGGCUUGGGUGGUGGUUUUCAUUAUGGCAGUGACAUUGAUCUGACGGGAGUGCAUCUCUCCUUGAACGUUUGUGGAUAAAAGAGGAAGAAGAUGAGAGAAGUCAGGGCAGGCCAGGAAAAUGAGAACUCUACAAAGAUAACCAUCAGCUUGGCAUUGGGGUGCCCUGAAAAGAGUCCAGCUUUCAAACUUCAGCAGAUCUGGGCUAGAAGUUCAGCUGGGUGACCUUGGGUGAGUCACUUAACCUCUCUGGGCUCCUGUCUACUCAUAGGCAGAAGGAGGAUGAUAAUAGAAACUACUUCAUGGAGUUGUGGUGCGGUCUUAAUGCAAUAACAUGGGUAAAGGGGCCUAGUACAAGGGUGUUUUCUGCUUGCCUUCCUCCAAAAUCAGCAUUUCACAUCCAAGAUUGAGACACUACCCUCCAUCCUUUUUCUAAAGUAGGCUCGCAAGAUUUAUCAAGCAAAAAUACAGUAUAUCCAGUUCAAUUUGGAUUUCAGAUAAACAACAAAUACUUAUUUUCCAUAAAUGUGUCCCAUGUAAUAUUUGGGACACACUUAGAGCAAUCAAGGAAUCCUUUAUCUGGAAACACUGUUCUAAAGGUUUACUGAUCCCAGGAGUUCCCUGGUGGCCUAGUGAUUAAGGACUGGGCAUUGUCACUGCUGUGGCUCAGGUCACUGAUAUGGAGUGGGUUUGAUCUCUGACCUGGGAAUUUCCGCAUGGCGUGGGCAUGGACAAAAAAAAGAAAAGAAAAAAGAAAGAAAAAAGAAAAAGAAAAAAAGGUUUAAUAAUCCUAAGAAAGAGGGGUUUUGAGGCCCAGUCUGGUCUUGUAUUCUACCUGGUCACCUGGUUCAGAGACAGCUGAUAUCCUUGUAAAGACUGUCUUUCUUGCUCACUGAAUCUACAGUGCCUAGAACAGAACCUGGCCUAUAUUAGGUGCUCAAUAAAAAUGUAUUGCAUGAGCAACUAAAAAACUGUAAGACUUCAUUAAAGUCAAUCAGAUUUGGGAAGUGCAUAUAAAUAUAUUUUAAAUAAGCCUUAUAAAUCAUGCAUCCCCUAUACCUGAGGUCAAAACGAAGACAGAGCCAUUGACCACCCCAGCCCUCACUCCCCACCCCCAGAAUCCACCUGGAAUCAAAAAGGAGGGCAGCCAUCAUGUUCUCACUGCCUAUUAGCCACCUGCAACCCCUGCCCUGAACUCAAUUCCACCCACCCCCCAACCCCCCCCGCAAAAAACAUGGGUUGCAAGAAUAUUUCAUAUCAACUCAUUUCAUACUUCAUUAUUUUAUUAAAAAAAAAGAUAAACUUCCACAUUCAGAGUCCACUUUUUUCUCCCCCUUCCUUCUGGCAAACAGGAGACAUCUGGGCUGGGAGGUGGGGGAAUGGCGGGGUCUCAGGUUGGGAGAAGCUGCGGGUGUGGGGAAUAGAAGUCAGGUGUGGCCCCUUCUGAGCUUCCCAGCCUGGCAAACGUCUACAUUUCUCGGGAAGUUGUGAGCACAGAGGAUUUCCCCAGGAAUCCAGGCUGGGCUUGUAAAGAAAUGAUCCCAACAUCAAGAAAAGAAACCGGCCAGUAAAAUCCUAGUUAGUUCAUUUUCUAAGACUUCUGAAUGUGUUUUGAAUUUUCUCUAAAUUAAGAUAAUCAUAAAAGGUUAAGAUAUUUAAACAGAGCUCCACCUGAUCCCGGGGCUUGAUGUGUAUGCUUAAUUAGUUCCCGAACAUAUGGUUCAGAGCUUCUUAUAAAAACAGGGUAAUGAUCGAGGUAUAUUUGGGUAUUAGAUUGAACGAUGUUAAAGGGACAUUCAGACCCAUCUCAAAGGCCCUAACCUGCCCUUGAUCUGUGCUGGAAGCUUUUGCUGACAUCUGUUUCAAAGAGAUAUCAAAAAACUUUCCAGUGGCCUCAUGAUAAAACAAAAAUCCACACGGAGAUAGAUAUCAGGCAUUAAAAUACUUAGGAUUCGACAUCGCGGGAGGAAUGUGUGGCCCCAGAAUGUAACAGUCGGGGAGGGGGGCGGGCGGGGGGGUUAGUCGAGGAGGGCGGCUCUGAGAAUCAUGAUGCCGGGGCUCCAUACGGAGAGGGAGCAGCUGGGUCACAAAUGUCCCCAGGGCCCUUUGUUCUCUCGUGUGUUUCAGCCCCUGAUAAUAAACCAGGUGCUCCCGUGCGAGGAACAUAACUCAGGUCGCCAGGAGUCCCUUCCACAGCUCCCAGGCAACCCCACUCUUCCCUGACCCCACGCCGGGAAAGCGCUGGUGGCGACGCCCCCGCGAGGAGCGAGGGAGGCACAGACUCAACGCGCGUCCGCUCGGGUUGCGUGCCCAGCCCCACCCCUAACCCUGGUCCCCAGAGAAGGUAACGCGAGAGUUCCUCUGCAGCACACAGCGGCCCCUCCCCAACCUCCAAUCAGAUUGCUGCUCCUAACCCCUUUCUGCGUGAGCGCCCUGGAUCCUGUCUAUUUGUGAAAAUUGGGGCCGUAAAACAGGCUCCGGAGGGGAUCAGACUCAUCUCUUCAGCUUUAGUGCACCUCACUCUACCCGAAUUCAUUUAUUCGUUCCUACUGUCGCCCAUCCUUUCAACAAGUACUCAACCAAGCACCGAUCGUGGGCGGGGCCGGGGGACUAGGGAGUCAUCGAGGACUUUGAACAGGGCUGGAAGAUCCACUGGGCAGCUGGGAGCAGAAGCAGCCGGAGCAGGACGAUGAAAGAAGGGCGGAUGGCUGUCCCUCAAAAUUCGUUAAAUCCAACCCGGGCUAUGAGCCAGAGAGAAAAGAGAACGAGGGUCCAAGAAAGUGGGAGUUAGAGUCCCGUCAUGCAGAAGGCAGAGAAAAGGCUCCAAGAACCACUGUAGGCUGUGCUUCUAAAGAGCUGGCUCUGAUUCCUCCCAAAGUCAGCUGAGACCUCAGCAUCCAUGACACUACAGUUUAGAGUGAAUACAACGAGCCAGGCACUUUCACAUAUAUCUCUUCAUGUAAUUCUCAUAGCAACCCUUCGACGUAUCUCAUCUUAUCACCCCUCUUUUACAGAUGAGCAAACAGAGGCUCACAGUGGUUCAAGAACUUGGCAAUGGCUGCACAGGGAAUAAAUGGCUUAGGCUGGAAUGUGAACAGGUCUUCCCACCCAGAGCCUGGAUUCCUGACCAUGACCUCCCACCACCCCCUCAGGUCUUCCACGCCACUCAGAAGGCCAGGAUGUGUGGCUCUCUUUGCCCAUCAAAGUGUGUCUGCCUAGCUGCCCUCGGCCUGCAAACCUCUCCCCGGUCUGGCCCAAAGUCACCUUUUUCCUUUGUUACCUCCCCCUGUGUCCCUCAGCGGGGGCGGGGGGUGGAGGUGGGGGGAAUCCAUAGCCCAGCAGGCAGGAGGCCAGAUCCAGACUGUGAUAUUGUGAGACUGCGUCCCUGUGCACUGGAGUUACAGCCUGGGGCAGCCCAGCGGGGGACCUCAAAGCUCAGGCCAAGCUCCAAGGGACUGAGAUCAAAGCCAGCGGGGGGUGGCAGAGCAACAAAGAACAGAAAUGAGCAAGGGCAAGCGAAUCUGGUCCCAUAUCAUUCCUGUGGCUGCAUUGUAGGGCUGAGACUUCUUUGAAGGUCUGGAACAACCCCCACCCCCACCCCCACCCCGCCCCAUCCCUGGAUGCAAGGCUCCCCGGGUUCCCUUUCAGGGGCUGGGGGCCCAAUAAAAUGGGGGCUGAGAAAGUUGUCUGUGGGUAAAUGAGGGUUCAGCCUGGUCUCAGUGACCUCUCCUUCAACUCUGUUGCCGGCAACACCUCAGGGACCCCCACACCCACGUUCCUGGGCAUAGCUGUUUUCAUUUUCCUGCACAGAAAAUGGGUGUGGCUCCCUGGUGUUUGGGUCUGUGACGCUUUUUUGUGGCUCUGGGCACAGCACCAUACAGACUGGGGGAUUUCCAGGAAUCCUGGGGACCAGCCUGAUGGAGCGACCCAUCCUUCGUAUAGUCCUAGGUCCAUGAAAGUGCUCAAAAGGAACAUUCAGUGAGAGCUAAAGGGGUCCACAGCGUAGGAAGAGCACUGGCCAGGGGAGUUCAGACCCAAAGUCCUAUCCUGGCUUUGCCACUGACUUCCCAAACAAGUCAUGUCCCCUCAGUUUCCCCAUCUGUGACACUAAAGAGAAGCUGACUCUCCUAAGGUUUCCACAUGCUUCCACAUCUUCUCCUGUGGCCCCUGUUCUGGGUCAUCUCCUAUGAGAGGCCCUUCCUGACCACUCAGGCUACAGCAGCCCCCUCCCCUCUCCAGACAACUUUUACUAUGUCAACUUCAUUGUCUCCGCUUGACUUUUUCCUUUUGGAUUUUUUUCUUUUUUCUUUCUUUU
Sus scrofa (pig) is the source of this 8705-nucleotide RNA transcript. RefSeq lists it as uncharacterized. Lineage: Eukaryota; Metazoa; Chordata; Mammalia; Artiodactyla; Suidae. The record is from RefSeq and is a predicted model, not a curated record.